CUCUCUCUCUCUCUCUCUCUUGAAGCAUAUAUAGAUGUAGGUGUAUUUUUGUAAGACGGUACUUAUGAGUAAGUUGACAAAAUUAUGCACAUGCAAACAAGUGUAUUUAUAGUCUAAUAAUGCUAUUUAGAAAAAGAAACGUAAACACCAUUAGACAUCUUGGUCAUGUACUACACUUAGGAGAAAUAAUGGAUUUGGCUGUAAAAGAAUGAAUGUAAUACUUAAAAUAUGUGACCAUCAAUGAAUAAAAGACUUGCAUAAAAUAAUUAGUUCUAAACUUCUAUCAGUGGUAGAAUGCUUCUAUAUAUUAAAUAAAAUUGAUUGCCAUGUUGUCUAACCUCUUUAUCUUUUUGUGCCUUGCCACCUUCAAUAAUUAUGACUAGCAUGUGUAUGUGUGUAUAAUUUGUUAACAUAUUAUGUUACUUUUUAUCAUUGGCAGUAUACGUAUUAUUUGUAUUUGUAAACCCAAUACUCAUUAUGUUAUAAUAUUUCCUGUUUAACCCUAUUUGAACCUUUGGCCUUUGACCCUUUCCCUUCUCUGGUCCAAUGGCCAAUUUCGGGUUUGAAAACAUUUGUUUAACCCUGAAUCUAGUGUGGAAAAUGUUUCUCCAAGGAGGUAUUUUUCUUUUUCCUCAUUGGAGGUUCAUCUUUUUAUGUCAAGAUGAUUAUCAUUGCUAAAGGAUGUAUUGUGUUCUUUUUUUGUCUAGAAAUUUGUUUCCAUUGCAAUGUGCUAUUGUGAUAUCCUGUUUGUUAGUUACUAUUAUUAAUAUCCCAUAUUGGUUUGGGAUAGGGGUAAUAUGCCCCUUAUAAAGCUUUAGGUACUCCUUCCUUGAGCUACCUUUUGGACGUCAGUUAGGCCCACUCAUUUCCUUAAGAUGGUAUCAAAGCCUCUCAACCAAUGUUGGGCCUUUUAUAAGUGUUUCACAUUCACACUCCAAGUGUUUGGUACUGGGUGUAAAUGAGGUGUGUUAAUUU
RNAcentral lists this unclassified non-coding RNA (975 nucleotides) under Hevea brasiliensis (rubber tree). Lineage: Eukaryota; Viridiplantae; Streptophyta; Magnoliopsida; Malpighiales; Euphorbiaceae. The record is from RNAcentral.